This is a long non-coding RNA of Nothobranchius furzeri (turquoise killifish), 584 nucleotides long. RefSeq lists it as uncharacterized. NCBI's taxonomy places the organism in Eukaryota, Metazoa, Chordata, Actinopteri, Cyprinodontiformes, Nothobranchiidae. The record is from RefSeq and is a predicted model, not a curated record.
AUCGCCAUUUUGACCGUGUCACAGGUUCCGUCCAGCCCAGACAAUUCCAUAAAAGGGAAGAGAGGAGGAGCUGAGGGUGGGGCUGUAAGGCUGGGCUCGAGUGACGACGCCCGUGCGAACUAGCUACGAGCUAACCUGAAGCUAACCCUGGCUAACCCAAAGCUAACGCGGAGGUGGGAGCCGAGCUAACGGAUGUAGCCACCUAGCUUCAACCCAACCGGAGCUAACUGGAACACCCAUCGACCUGAACCUCACACGGAGUUUAGGUGGAGGUUUUCGGCGCCUGUUAGUGACAAGUACCUGGAUUUAAAAAGUAUUGAAUCGAUCUGUUUAAAUGUCACCAUGGCAGCCUGUGUGUCUCCAACAUCAGCUACACAAAGCAGCAAGUCCAUUUGGAUCAUUGGAGACAGCUGAGUGAGGCGUGGUGCCCAGAGAGCUGCAGAGACCGUGGGAGACAACCUUGGCCUCCCUGACGUCUGUGUCUCCUGGUUCGGUUGGGGCGGACCAUCGACAUACAUACAUGUGCCGACACUUUGCGCCCUGUUUUAUAAACUGUAGUGUUAAAAAUAAAUGUUUUUGCUCAA